GCAGGCGCUUUCGCUCUCUUUUUUCUUGCCUCAGUUGCAGUGCGCUGAUGGAGAGGAGGGUGAGCAUGGAGCCGUCCCGACCCGCGUUUCAUGAACGUCUCGCCCCAGUUGGUGUGAGUCGGUCGUUUUAAAGGGCUGUGUGCGAUGGGCCCAGAAAGGCGAGGAGACGAGUGGGGAAUUGCUCUAGCAAAAAAAAAAAAGCGAAACCAGUUGUAUGCAUAGCUUGGUGAAAUCUACUUGACGCCUAUUUUAUUCUAUAAGGAAGGCUGCAUGUGACUCUUUCGAAGAAGCCAGUCAUGAAGAUGCAAAUUUUCCUUGUGUUACAAUGUAAACGUCUGAGACCUUUUUCACUGAAAAGAUGAAGUCAAGUCUAUAUAAGCCACAGUGUGGUUUUCUGAUUACUGUGCACAAUGGGCACAGGCCAUUUGCCUGUGGAAUUGGAAGUGCAGCUUCAAAACAACUGCUGUCUGGGAAAGCUAAGAGGUGGAAAAAGUUGUAAACCAAUUUUGCAUGAAACAAUGAUAUCACCUAAAGAGGAUGGAGCUUCCUUGGAGCCAUGCUAGCUCUUUUGCCACGUUACAAUAGGAAAGAAGUAUAGGGAUCUCUGUUUUGCCUUGGAGAGCUGUAGCUUGCCUCUUCCAUUACGUGGGAUCUCUCUGGCAAGCCAGAGGCAUGAUCAAUCUUCAAGGAUGUACUCCAGCCAGGCAAAAACACUGAAGGAGGGAAGCUUGGAGGAGGGACACAUCCAAUCCCAGGACCUAAGGGUUCCCCACCCCCAUCUCAUGAUGUCACUUCCUCCUGCAACUUCCACUA
This is a long non-coding RNA of Rhineura floridana, 813 nucleotides long. RefSeq lists it as uncharacterized. Lineage: Eukaryota; Metazoa; Chordata; Lepidosauria; Squamata; Rhineuridae. The transcript has 6 exons. The record is from RefSeq and is a predicted model, not a curated record.